GACGAACGCUGGCGGCGUGCUUAACACAUGCAAGUCGAACGGAAAGGCCCUGCUUUUGUGGGGUGCUCGAGUGGCGAACGGGUGAGUAACACGUGAGUAACCUGCCCUUGACUUUGGGAUAACUUCAGGAAACUGGGGCUAAUACCGGAUAGGAGCUCCUGCUGCAUGGUGGGGGUUGGAAAGUUUCGGCGGUUGGGGAUGGACUCGCGGCUUACCAGCUUGUUGGUGGGGUAGUGGCUUACCAAGGCUUUGACGGGUAGCCGGCCUGAGAGGGUGACCGGCCACAUUGGGACUGAGAUACGGCCCAGACUCCUACGGGAGGCAGCAGUGGGGAAUAUUGCACAAUGGGCGGAAGCCUGAUGCAGCAACGCCGCGUGCGGGAUGACGGCCUUCGGGUUGUAAACCGCUUUCGCCUGUGACGAAACGUGAGUGACGGUAAUGGGUAAAGAAGCACCGGCUAACUACGUG
Molecule: ribosomal RNA, 468 nt
Filed under: uncultured bacterium
Lineage: Bacteria
Description: partial 16S ribosomal RNA
Rfam family: Bacterial small subunit ribosomal RNA
Source: RNAcentral